This 300-nucleotide ribosomal RNA is filed under the name uncultured Bacillus sp. Its description in RNAcentral is "bacterial SSU rRNA". It matches the Rfam family "Bacterial small subunit ribosomal RNA", at positions 496 to 795 of the family's 1533-position model. Lineage: Bacteria; Bacillati; Bacillota; Bacilli; Caryophanales; Bacillaceae. The record is from RNAcentral.
ACGAUGUGCGGGCCAGCGGGAGGGUGAGUACGAAGGGGGCUAUGGUUGGUCGGAAUGACUGGUCUGAAAUCGCACGUAGGCGGAUCGCUAAGUCGGGGGUGAAAGCCUGGAGCGCAACUCCAGAACUGCCGUCGAUACUGGCGAUCUUGAGUCCGGGAGAGGUGAGUGGAACGCCGAGGGUAGAGGUGAAAUUCGUAGAUAUUCGGAAGAACACCAGUGGCGAAGGCGGCUCACUGGCCCGGUACUGACGCUGAGGUGCGAAAGCGUGGGGAGCAAACAGGAUUAGAUACUCCAGUAGUC